This is an RNA transcript of Trifolium pratense (red clover), 3061 nucleotides long. It is a transcript of the gene named zinc finger CCCH domain-containing protein 7-like, with no coding region annotated. The record is from RefSeq and is a predicted model, not a curated record. Lineage: Eukaryota; Viridiplantae; Streptophyta; Magnoliopsida; Fabales; Fabaceae. The transcript has 5 exons.
ACCGCUUUUACUCUCUACGGUGAAACCGCUCCCGACCUCGCUCCGAUCUCCUCCACACUGCGACCUCGCUCCGAUCUCAUUCUCGCUGCAAUCUCGCUCCGGUCUUGCUCCGUUCACGAUCUCGCUCCGACAUGGACUCGAUUCUCUUCGUUGUAUUUCUCCUUCUCUCUAUAAAUUGUUGUUCGUUUUCUAUCCCUCUCUCGUGGUUGUUAUUCUUCGUUGAAAUUUGAUGUUCUCCUCUGUUUUUUCUCCAAUUGUAGUGUAUGUUAAAUUUCAACACUCUAAUUUAGUUCUUUUUCACUAAUUGUGCUUUGGAUUUGAACCCUAUGAAUUUCAUGUUUAGGUUUUGCAUAAAUUGAAUUCAUUAGGUUUUGCAAAAAUUGAAUUUAGGUUACUGAAUUUGUUCACCAAAUUGACAAUUAGGUUUUGCAAAAUUUGAAUUCAGGUUACUGAAUUCACUUUACUUUAUGCGAUAGAAUUAGAUGAUACUUAUUGGAUUGAUUCUAUAAUUCACAUUUCCGGUGGCUGGUAUUUAGAUGAUACAUAAUUCUUAUUCUUACAAAAAAACUUUGUGUUGAGAUAAUAAUCCCUCUGUAUAUUGAUUGUCACUUUCUUUAUAUGUGUUCAUAAUGAUUGCCUUUUUUCUAGUGUAGGUGAUUUGUGAUAUGGUUUAGUAAGUUAACAAAUGCAGCUUUUUUUCAUAGAUUAUUCAUAUAAACCUUAGCAGCUAUGUCUUUUGAUAAAAAAUGAAUUGAAAGUUAGACGAAAGCCUUACAUAGCUUAGAGGUAUGCAUGCCUUAGUAUGAAUAUACUUAUGUAGUUAUAACUUAUGACAGUAUAUAGAUAGCUAUCCAAUGUAUAAUUUUCAGCGUUCAAAAUAACACUUCUUCAGUCAAGUCUUCAUUGCAAACUACUUUAUAGCUAUACUUAUUGUGAAGGGAUUAUUUAUAUUUGAUGGAUUGUAAUGAGUAGUGUACGGUGCCUGUAGUCUUUGAUACUUUCAAUUUGAAAUUUGAGUUUCUUUUGUUUUUGUAUGCUUAAUUACUGUUUGGCAAAUAGACAUGUGAAAAUGCAUUGCGGUGCAUUGGUAAUAAUGAUAUGUUCAAAAGCUUGGAAGAAGUGUUUUUCCUGAAAAUUUGAAGGCUACUACAAUCAGCGAGAUUACUAGGCUCAGGAACGUUGCAAUGACAUCAAUUACUUCACGCUCUGUGGUUGAUGAACGGACUAUCCAGAUGCCGGUAAGUCUACAACAAGAGACAAAUACUUUACUUCAGUGGUCAGAUACCAAAGUAGAGAAAGCUGGUAAGUUCAUUUACUGGUGUUUCUUGAUUGUGGAUGCCACAUUUAUCUUCUGCUAAUUUGCUUCCUUAAUCUAAUCAUUUUAAGAUGUUUGUUGAAAGUUGACUGCUUCUAACUUCUAAAUUUAGAUUUAGGUGAUGAAAGUUACUUUUGUUUUACUUGUUUGACCAGAUUAUUCCAAAAUAACUUGUAUUGGUCCUCAGACAAAGAGUAGGAAGAAUUCUUCCCAUGAGUUUUUGUCAUAUCAAAAUGCGGAAGACUAUCCAAGUUUUUGUUAUUACUAUUGUCUGUUACUCUGACAUUGGAAGUAGCGGUUGAUUGUGUAGGAGAACGUAUAUUUUGUGUUGGUUCAGUUCGCUACAUAAUGGAUCCUUCCAGGCGGACACUUCAGAGGAUUUCAGGUGAAUGACAUUUUGAAAUUUCUUAUCAUUUUAUGAGCUAGUGGCCUGUCAAAUUCUAAAAACUCUGCAUCUAUGUUCUCCAUAAAGGGGUUGUUAGUCGAGUAUGAUGAUGAUUAAGGUGCAGGAAUAAAAUGCAGAUCUGGUUUUGUAUACAAUACUCCACAAUAAUUUGUUUGCAUUAUAUUGUAGAUUGUAUGUUUGGACAAGGAGAGGUUCUAAUUCUGUAACAUGAAAUAAAAUAAAAUCAUUAAGUUCCUUUCUUUUUCUGCCAUGCUGGGGAUAUUAGUAGUAGUAUGGCCGUUAUGGUCAUUCGUUUAUUUUCUGUUGGUCCUAUCUUUAUAUUGUUUUGAAUACUUUUAUCUCUUCCAAGCAAGUUAAUAGGUUUUAUCACUAUAUUGAUAUUACAAAGUUUACCUUAAUUUUCUUUGUAGAUGAUGAAUCCCUGUCCUCUGCCUCAAUCAAUCUGGUUUGCUCAUGUUGUUUUAUCUUUUAAAAGAUGAAUUGGUCUCUCUCAUACUUGGCUGAUGUCAUGUUUUCUUUAUAAAUUGAUAUCACAGUUUUUAAUGGUGUUAUGUAGUUUUAUUUAAUGUACUUAUUUCAUGUCGAUCAUCUGUGUAUCUAUGUGUGAAAGUUAACAAGUUUUCCUUUACAAUAACUCAAAAUGGUGGCGUAAUUUUGUUGGAAUGCGAUCAUAUCAGAUGCAGGUUGUUACUACCUUAAUAUCACUAUGAUAAUAAUGUAGAUUUUGUUGUUAGCAUGACAUAUGCAAUGUUAUCCUUGUUAGAGAAACUAAAUGUGGUCCAAGGAGAUAUCUUAAAAUUCUUGUUUUGUGAUAGUUUGACCUUCUACUGAAGUUUCUUAAUAUUGUGUCUGGUUUUGGUCCAACUUCUGGUUCAGCUCUUACCAGCCAUAUGGAUGUUGACAAGGGUAGGUUGCUUAAUUUGUAUCUGUUAUUGAUCCAGCAAGGAAUCCGUCAAGACUCUUCUCCAAAGACUCUGGAUAUUGUCAAUCUACUGCAUAAUAAUACUGAAUCAUUCUGCCUCCACGUCGCAGAAAGGAAGUUGACUUGGUUAAGGACGACAUCAAAAUCAUAGACAUCCCUGUGCACUUGGUUAAGGUAUAUUCAACAAUGGAGUUUCUUUAUGAUGUUUUUGUGUGUGUCUGUAUUCAGCAAUGGAGUUCAUUUAUGACUUGGGUCAAUUAAUGGAAAGGGGGAAAUAUUGGUACUUCCUUUAACCCUUAAAAUCUUUGAAAAUUUCCAAGUAUAAUGCGUAUUUGCUUCAUUUAAUUUAGCUUUUUUCAAAUUUGUAACGGAUGAUAAUUAAUUUAUAAUUAGCUCUGUUUUGGGCAUGGUUUCAUAA